UAUGUGAUUCAGUCUGACAGACUUUAAAGCUGAUCCAGGGACUCCAGUGAAACCUGCCUGCUGUCUGUUCUCUACUCAGCAGAUAAAAUGCAUUCUAACAAACCACCAUCACGUGCCAACCCUGUGACACCGUCCACCUAACAACAUACAAGAGCAGCACCUGAACAUCACAAUGCCUUUGCUGCACCUGCUAGAGAAGCAGCACCUGAACAUCACAAUGGUAACAGUGCCUGUGAAAUGCCAGACAACAUAUUUAACAUUGUUAUGCUGGGACUAACGGGGACUGGAAAGAGUGCAUCAGCAAACACCAUCCUGGCUGCUGGGAACUCCCAGCGGAAUUCAAAAAAACACUUUAUAUCUAUGUCACACUCCUUGCCGGUCACCACCCAGUGUGAGGUAAAAAUAGUAAAGAAGCUCUGCGGGACACAGGUGAGAGUGGUUGACACUCCGGACUUCUUAAACGACCAACUCUGUAACUCCCAGGCACAGGUAGAGGAGUGUAAGAGGUACUGUCAGCCAGGUCGAUGCGUGGUGUUACUCGUGUUACAGCUGGGGCGGUUUACAGAUGUUGAGAGAGGAAUAUUGGAAAAGCUGGAAAAAAAGCUUGACUGGAAGAUCAGGGAGAGGACAAUCGUCCUGCUGACACACAGGGAGGACCUGAAAGGAAGUCUGAAGAGUUAUAUUGAUGUUAAUGACGGCCUCAAGAGCAUUGUUGAAAUGUGUGUCAAUCGUCUUCAUCUUUUUAAUAAUUCCUCCAACGACACUAAGCAAGUCAUAGAGCUCAUCAAGAAAAUUCCGAACUAUGAAAAUUUUUUCCCAAAGUUUACAGAAAAAAAUUGUUGUGUAUGUUAGCUUGGCUAUAUAUGCUGAUCAUGUCAUUUGCACUCCAAAUGUGCAAAUGACAUAGUGCUUAAAAAGAGUAUUCUACUGACUCACAAUGGACAAAAAGUAUUAAAAUUGUUGCAGAACCAUAGAUAACUUUUGAAUUCCAUAUAUUACCCACAAUGCAACUCUGCCACCAACAGUUCAGUCGAGUCAGAUGCAGGUGUGUUUUGCUAGUAGCGGCUAAUGUAGCCUAGACUCACUAGCCUCAAGCAGAGAUGAGGAGUGGGCUAUCAUUUUCACAUUUGUAGUCUUCAGCCCUAAAGAUAAUUUAUCAUUUGCUUAGCUCUUGCUGUAGAAACUAAAGGCAACUUUUUUCACAUGUGCAAUAAUACUCCCCAAGACCUGUAAACAGACGUUCCUCUUUGAUUUCAAGUGCAUCUUUUAAAGUUGUGUUCACUACUGCCCACUAUUUUAUCAUAAUCAUUAUGCUACCUUUUUCGUCAGAGUACUAUUAUGUGUUGUUUUUGUUCGAUUUUAAAUUAAUGUAUAUUACAUUAUACAUACCAAUGUUUGGAGCAAGCCUAUGCCUCCUGGGGAUGGUGGUGGAUGUUGUUACUGCUGCUACUGCUACUAGUGUGUAACUUGCAUCUGUUUAAAAAUGUACAUGUCAAAUGCCUGUCUAUAGUGAAUCUAAAAAAUUAUAAAUGCGUUGGUAAAAAUGGCAUAAAUGUAUAACAAAAACUGGAUGCAGGAUUCCAACAUAGCAUUCAGCUAAGUUCUGAGAAGUGAAAUUCCAGUGUAAUAGAGUUUACUAAGUCCUGAAAAGGAGUGUGGCUUGAUCAUGGGCCUGAUGAAAGACAUGUGGUUGUCAGAUGAUGUACUGUGCUGAUGUACUGUACUGUGCCAUGAAGUCCAACCUCGCAACUGUAUAAGUACUUGCAUGCUAACAGAAUGGCUUCAGGUUCCUCUGCAGAGUAAACUCAUGUAUUUUGUUUGAAUAAAGAUCUUAAUUAUAGCACCA
Molecule: long non-coding RNA, 1846 nt
Organism: Sander lucioperca (pikeperch)
Lineage: Eukaryota; Metazoa; Chordata; Actinopteri; Perciformes; Percidae
Exons: 3
Source: RefSeq, a predicted model, not a curated record